RNAcentral lists this unclassified non-coding RNA (352 nucleotides) under soil metagenome. Its description in RNAcentral is "partial contains 5.8S ribosomal RNA, internal transcribed spacer 2, and large subunit ribosomal RNA". The stretch from base 3 to 120 matches the Rfam family "5.8S ribosomal RNA", at positions 37 to 154 of the family's 154-position model. The record is from RNAcentral.
GGUGAAGAACGUAGUGAAAUGCGAUAAGUAAUGUGAAUUGCAGAAUUCAGUGAAUCAUCGAAUCUUUGAACGCACAUUGCGCCCGCCAGUAUUCUGGCGGGCAUGCCUGUUCGAGCGUCAUUACAACCCUCAGGCCCCCGGGCCUGGCGUUGGGGAUCGGCGGAGCCCCCCGUGGGCACACGCCGUCCCCCAAAUGCAGUGGCGGUCCCGCCGCAGCUUCCAUCGCGUAGUAGCUAACACCUCGCGACUGGAGAGCGGCGCGGCCACGCCGUAAAACACCCAACUCUUCUGAAGUUGACCUCGAAUCAGGUAGGAAUACCCGCUGAACUUAAGCAUAUCAAUAAGCGGAGGA